GACGAACGCUGGCGGCGUGCUUAACACAUGCAAGUCGAACGGAAAGGCCCUGCGUUUGUGGGGUGCUCGAUUGGCGAACGGGGGAGUGACACGUGAGUAACCUGCCCUUGACUUUGGGGUAACUUCAGGAAACUGGGGCUAAUACCGGAUAGGAUCUCCUGCUGCAUUGUGGGGGUUGGAAAGUUUCGGCGGUUGGGGAUGGACUCGCGGCUUAUCAGCUUGUUGGUGGGGUAGUGGCUUACCAAGGCUUUGACGGGUAGCCGGCCUGAGAGGGUGACCGGCCACAUUGGGACUGAGAUACGGCCCAGACUCCUACGGGAGGCAGCAGUGGGGAAUAUUGCACAAUGGGCGGAAGCCUGAUGCAGCAACGCCGCGUGCGGGAUGACGGCCUUCGGGUUGUAAACCGCUUUCGCCUGUGACGAAGCGUGAGUGACGGUAAUGGGUAAAGAAGCACCGGCUAACUACGUG
This 468-nucleotide ribosomal RNA is filed under the name uncultured bacterium. RNAcentral's name for it is "partial 16S ribosomal RNA". It matches the Rfam family "Bacterial small subunit ribosomal RNA", at positions 28 to 507 of the family's 1533-position model. The record is from RNAcentral.